RNAcentral lists this transfer RNA (75 nucleotides) under Candidatus Woesearchaeota archaeon. RNAcentral's name for it is "tRNA-Met". It matches the Rfam family "tRNA". From Rfam's summary of the family: Transfer RNA (tRNA) molecules are approximately 80 nucleotides in length. Their secondary structure includes four short double-helical elements and three loops (D, anti-codon, and T loops). Further hydrogen bonds mediate the characteristic L-shaped molecular structure. tRNAs have two regions of fundamental functional importance: the anti-codon, which is responsible for specific mRNA codon recognition, and the 3' end, to which the tRNAs corresponding amino acid is attached (by aminoacyl-tRNA synthetases). tRNAs cope with the degeneracy of the genetic code in two manners: having more than one tRNA (with a specific anti-codon) for a particular amino acid; and 'wobble' base-pairing, i.e. permitting non-standard base-pairing at the 3rd anti-codon position. The record is from RNAcentral. Lineage: Archaea; Nanobdellati; Candidatus Woesearchaeota.
GCCGCCGUAACUCAGCCUGGUUAGAGUGCGAGACUCAUAAUCUCGAAGUCCGGGGCUCAAAUCCCCGCGGCGGCA